AAUUCAAAAAGCUUCUAACUUUUAUUUGAGCAUUAGCUUGUUCAUAUUUCUU
Molecule: transfer RNA, 52 nt
Filed under: Dilophotes sp. AN LB-2014
Lineage: Eukaryota; Metazoa; Arthropoda; Insecta; Coleoptera; Lycidae
Description: partial tRNA-Ser
Source: RNAcentral